GAUGAAGAACGUAGCGAAAUGCGAUACUUGGUGUGAAUUGCAGAAUCCCGUGAACCAUCGAGUCUUUGAACGCAAGUUGCGCCCGAAGCCACUAGGCCGAGGGCACGCCUGUCUGGGCGUCACACGUCGUUGCCCCCCCCCCCAUCUACUCCUUCGGGAUUGCGGGGGGCGGAUGAUGGCCUCCCGUGCGCCUAGCCGCGCGGUUGGCAUAAAUACCAAGUCCUCGGCGACGCACGCCACGACAAUCGGUGGUUGCGAAACCUCGGUUGCCCGUCGUGUGCGUUCGUCGCGCAUCGAGGGCUCGAAAAAAUGCUCGGCUCCGGCUCGGCUUUCAACGCGACCCCAGGUCAGGCGGGGUUACCCGCUGAAUUUAAGCAUAUCAAUAAGCGGAGGA
RNAcentral lists this unclassified non-coding RNA (394 nucleotides) under soil metagenome. Its description in RNAcentral is "partial contains 5.8S ribosomal RNA, internal transcribed spacer 2, and large subunit ribosomal RNA". The stretch from base 1 to 122 matches the Rfam family "5.8S ribosomal RNA", at positions 35 to 154 of the family's 154-position model. The record is from RNAcentral.